Small nucleolar RNA from Hevea brasiliensis (rubber tree), 107 nucleotides. The record is from RefSeq and is a predicted model, not a curated record. NCBI's taxonomy places the organism in Eukaryota, Viridiplantae, Streptophyta, Magnoliopsida, Malpighiales, Euphorbiaceae.
AUUCCAUAAUGUGUACAUCUCCGUUGAAGGUCCUUGUAUCUCUCCAAUGCUUCAUAAAGGCUUUCAUCAUCCCUAGGUCAAAAGGAAAUCAGCUUAUUCCUUAGUUU